This 873-nucleotide long non-coding RNA is filed under the name Olea europaea subsp. europaea. The record is from RNAcentral. Lineage: Eukaryota; Viridiplantae; Streptophyta; Magnoliopsida; Lamiales; Oleaceae.
GUCAGGACAAUGGUUUUCAAAGUUCUCUAAAUCUCUUAUACUACAUGGCUUCCAUCAAUCCAAAUUGGACUAUUUACAAAAGAUUCUAGAGCUUCUUUUAAUGCAUUACUGGUUUAUGUUGAUGAUAUUAUCAUCACAGGAUCAAACAUUGAAGAAGUAAAAUUCGUAAAGGCAUUUUUGCAUAAUCAGUUUAAGCUCAAAGACCUAGGUAAACUGAAGUAUUUUCUUGGCUUGGAGAUAGCAAGGUCAUAGAAAAGAAUCUUCCUCUCCCAAAGACAUUACACUCUUCAACUUCUUAAAGACACUGGUUCUUUUGCCAGCAAACCAGCUCAGCUACUUGUGGAUCCGCGUCUAAAUUCUUUUGAUGGAGAACUCCUUGAUGAUGCUUCUUUAUAUCAAAGAUUGGUACUUAACCAUCUCUCGACCAAUCAUUACCGUUGCUGUUCAUAAACUCGGCUAAUUCAUGUCUCAACCUCGACAACCUCAUCUUGAUGUUGCACUUAAGGUAUCUUAAAUCAUCCUCAGGAUAAGGCUUGUUAUUUGCUGCUGCUUCUUCAUUCUAGCUUCAAGCAUGUGCUGACGCUAAUUGGGGAUCAUGUCCUGAUUCAAGAAAAUUCAAGAAAAUUAAUCACUGGGUUUUGUGUGCUCCUUGGUGAUUCACUAAUUUCCUGGAGAGCUAAAAAGCAAACCAUUAUUUCCAAAUCAUCAGCUGAGGCAGAAUAUAGGGCCUUGGCAUCUACAACAAGCGAACUUGUUUGGAUACAUCAGCUUCUUCUUGAUUUCCAGAUUACAUCUUCUUCUCCGGCAUUAAUUUUCUGUGAUAAUCAAGCUGCGAUCCAUAUCGCCACGAAUCCUAUCUUCCAUGAACGGACA